GUCCUGACUUUAGCAGUGCAUAUAAUCAAAUUGGAAAGAUACAGAGAAGAUCAGUAUAGCUCCUGUGCAA
This 70-nucleotide small nuclear RNA is filed under the name Octodon degus (degu). The record is from RNAcentral. Lineage: Eukaryota; Metazoa; Chordata; Mammalia; Rodentia; Octodontidae.